RNAcentral lists this transfer RNA (83 nucleotides) under Methanobacteriota archaeon. Its description in RNAcentral is "Euryarchaeota archaeon tRNA-Leu". It matches the Rfam family "tRNA". From Rfam's summary of the family: Transfer RNA (tRNA) molecules are approximately 80 nucleotides in length. Their secondary structure includes four short double-helical elements and three loops (D, anti-codon, and T loops). The record is from RNAcentral. Lineage: Archaea; Methanobacteriati; Methanobacteriota.
GCAGGGGUAGCCAAGUGGCCAACGGCGCCGGACUCAAGAUCCGGUCUCACAGGAGUUCGCGGGUUCAAAUCCCUCCCCCUGCA